RNAcentral lists this ribosomal RNA (408 nucleotides) under uncultured Archaeospora. RNAcentral's name for it is "bacterial SSU rRNA". It matches the Rfam family "Eukaryotic small subunit ribosomal RNA", at positions 569 to 979 of the family's 1831-position model. The record is from RNAcentral. Lineage: Eukaryota; Fungi; Glomeromycota; Glomeromycetes; Archaeosporales; Archaeosporaceae.
AGCAGCCGCGGUAAUUCCAGCUCCAAUAGCGUAUAUUAAAGUUGUUGCAGUUAAAAAGCUCGUAGUUGAAUUUUUGGUCUGACAGAUUGGUCCAUUCUGAAUGGGAUGAGUACUGAUUUUGUUGGGCCUAAUUCUUAGUGAGACUAGAUGCUCUUUAUUGGGUGUUUAGGGUAGCUAAGACGUUUACCUUGAAAAAUUAGAGUGUUUAAAGCAGGCAUAUGCCGGAAUAGAUUAGCAUGGAAUAAUAGAAUAGGACGCAUGGACCUAUUUUGUUGGUUUCUAGGACCAUCGUAAUGAUUAAUAGGGAUAGUUGGGGGCAUUAGUAUUCAAUUGUCAGAGGUGAAAUUCUUGGAUUUAUUGAAGACUAACUAUUGCGAAAGCAUUUGCCAAGGAUGUUUUCAUUAAUCA